GGACUACUAGGGUUUCUAAUCCUGUUCGCUCCCCACGCUUUCGUACCUCAGCGUCAGGGUCGGCCCAGCAAGCUGCCUUCGCCAUUGGUGUUCUUCGUAAUAUCUACGCAUUUCACUGCUACACUACGAGUUCCACUUGCCUCUGCCGUCCUCUAGAUGCCCAGUAUGCGAUGCAACGACAGGGUUGAGCCCCACGAUUUAACAUCACACUUAAACAUCCGCCUACGCACGCUUUACGCCCAGUGAUUCCGGAUAACGCUUGGACCCUACGUAUUACCGCGGCUGCUGGCAC
Molecule: ribosomal RNA, 292 nt
Filed under: uncultured bacterium
Lineage: Bacteria
Description: partial 16S ribosomal RNA
Source: RNAcentral